ACAUUUGGGUACUGAGGCUUUACCGGAAUGUGAACAGCGAGCAUCCAUGGCAAAAAACUCCCCCUUCACGUAGAAUAGGCAGACGUCAGACUCGUAGCCGUGGGAGGAGUACAUUAAACGGCAGCGCUUGUUGGAAAGCCCCGAUACCGGGCCUAUGAGUCUCCAUGAAACGCCAUCCGCGCUUCCCUCUUCAUCUCCGGAGCCAGAGGCCAUAAAGAGCGGCGAAAUGUGCUGGUUUUCUAAUUUGCGCUACUACAGAGCUCCUAUUAUCCGUCAGUGCAAGAGGAUUUGGCAGUCCGCUCUGUGAAAAUAUUCCAUAUUAACCACCAGGCCGACUAGUGCGACGGUCAGCCCUGCGGAUUGAGCUGCAGCCAGCCAGCCGGGACACCGUCACACCGAGGCACGCAGUGCGCUCUCCAGCACGGCUGCUCUUCAUUUGAACUACAUGUGAAUGAAAUUUGUUACAGAAAAAAUCCAAUAGAGGAAACAUGAAUCUACUGCAAUCUUACCAGAGAUAGCAGACUGUAAAGGAGGUGGCAUGAAAUACUGGACUGACAGCUGCUGCUGCAAAUUCCAUCCCUGACUCAAACUAAGUCCCCUCAUGGAUACUUCAAGCCUCACUGGUAUAUAUGUGUCCCAUAACAGCACUCUUAAAGGGACAUACUGUGCUUCCUGGAGGACAUUUUAUGAAAGAAUAUUACAGUCUGGAACAACAUAGAUCAGAGACUGGAUAAUGGAGGCCAAUAGCUUUCUUACAAAGUAAACAUAAAACUUGUGUGUGCGCGCGCGUGUGU
Molecule: long non-coding RNA, 794 nt
Organism: Micropterus dolomieu (smallmouth bass)
Lineage: Eukaryota; Metazoa; Chordata; Actinopteri; Centrarchiformes; Centrarchidae
Exons: 3
Source: RefSeq, a predicted model, not a curated record